GCUGGCGCGAGCCACCCAGCGAACUGAAACAUCUUAGUAGCUGGAGGAAAGGAAAGUAAAAACGACUCCCUAAGUAGCGGCGAGCGAACGGGGAAGAGCCUAAACCAAUGGUUUCGACCAUUGGGGUUGUGGGACAGCAACGUGGAUCAGGAAUGUUAGUGGAAGUGUUUGAAAGACACGCCACAGAGGGUGAAAGCCCCGUACACGAAAACUGAACUGACCUAGCUGUAUCCCGAGUAGCACGGAGCACGUGAAAUUCCGUGUGAAUCAGCGAGGACCACCUCGUAAGGCUAAGUACUCCUGUGUGACCGAUAGCGAAACAGUACCGCGAGGGAAAGGUGAAAAGAACCCCGGGAGGGGAGUGAAAUAGAACAUGAAACCGUGAGCCUACAAGCAAUGGGAGCCCUACUCAUAGGGUGACCGUGUGCCUGUUGAAGAAUGAGCCGGCGACUUAUAGGCACUGGCGGGUUAAACCGGAAAUGGUGGAGCCAUAGCGAAAGCGAGUCUGAAUAGGGCGUUUGUCAGUGUUUAUAGACCCGAACCCGGGUGAUCUAACCAUGGCCAGGAUGAAGCUUGGGUGAUACCAAGUGGAGGUCCGAACCGACUGAUGUUGAAAAAUCAGCGGAUGAGCUGUGGUUAGGGGUGAAAUGCCAAUCGAACCCGGAGCUAGCUGGUUCUCCCCGAAAUACGUUGAGGCGUAGCGUCUCGUGCUCCAGCAGGGGGGUAAAGCCACCAUUUCGGUGCGGGCUGCGAGAGCGGUACCAAAUCGAGAUGAACUCUGAAUACCCUGUGUGUAGCGAGGCAGU
This 806-nucleotide ribosomal RNA is filed under the name uncultured bacterium. Its description in RNAcentral is "bacterial LSU rRNA". It matches the Rfam family "Bacterial large subunit ribosomal RNA", at positions 170 to 984 of the family's 2925-position model. The record is from RNAcentral.